CAGCUCAGUGACAGAGUGUCUGCUUUGCAAGCAGAAGGUCCCUGGUUCAAUCCUCACCAUUUCCAGAUAAA
Molecule: non-coding RNA, 71 nt
Organism: Podarcis lilfordi (Lilford's wall lizard)
Lineage: Eukaryota; Metazoa; Chordata; Lepidosauria; Squamata; Lacertidae
Source: the annotation of a GenBank genome assembly